This 2241-nucleotide small RNA is filed under the name Pongo abelii (Sumatran orangutan). RNAcentral's name for it is "retained intron". The record is from RNAcentral. Lineage: Eukaryota; Metazoa; Chordata; Mammalia; Primates; Hominidae.
ACACCAUGGAAGGUUCUCCUGGGACUGCUGGGGGCUGCUGCGCUUGUCACCAUCAUCACCGUGCCCGUGGUUCUGCUGAACAAAGGCACAGAUGAUGCUACAGCUGACAGUCGCAAAACUUACACUCUAACUGAUUACUUAAAAAAUACUUAUAGACUGAAGUUAUACUCCUUAAGAUGGAUUUCAGAUCAUGAAUAUCUCUACAAACAAGAAAAUAAUAUCUUGGUAUUCAAUGCUGAAUAUGGAAACAGCUCAGUUUUCUUGGAGAACAGUACAUUUGAUGAGUUUGGACAUUCUAUCAAUGAUUAUUCAAUAUCUCCUGAUGGGCAGUUUAUUCUCUUAGAAUACAACUAUGUGAAGCAAUGGAGGCAUUCCUACACAGCUUCAUAUGACAUUUAUGAUUUAAAUAAAAGGCAGCUGAUUACAGAAGACAGGAUUCCAAACAACACACAGUGGGUCACAUGGUCACCAGUGGGUCAUAAAUUGGCAUAUGUUUGGAACAAUGACAUUUAUGUUAAAAUUGAACCAAAUUUACCAAGUCACAGAAUCACAUGGACUGGGAAAGAAGAUAUAAUAUAUAAUGGAAUAACUGACUGGGUUUAUGAAGAGGAAGUCUUCAGUGCCUACUCUGCUCUGUGGUGGUCUCCAAACGGCACUUUUUUAGCAUAUGCCCAAUUUAACGACACAGAAGUCCCACUUAUUGAAUACUCCUUCUACUCUGAUGAGUCACUGCAGUACCCAAAGACUGUACGGGUUCCAUAUCCAAAGGCAGGAGCUGUGAAUCCAACUGUAAAGUUCUUUGUUGUAAAUACAGACUCUCUCAGCUCAGUCACCAAUGCAACUUCCAUACAAAUCACUGCUCCUGCUUCUAUGUUGAUAGGGGAUCACUACUUGUGUGAUGUGACAUGGGCAACACAAGAAAGAAUUUCUUUGCAGUGGCUCAGGAGGAUUCAGAACUAUUCGGUCAUGGAUAUUUGUGACUAUGAUGAGUCCAGUGGAAGAUGGAACUGCUUAGUGGCACGGCAACACAUUGAAAUGAGUACUACUGGCUGGGUUGGAAGAUUUAGGCCUUCAGAACCUCAUUUUACCUCUGAUGGUAAUAGCUUCUACAAGAUCAUCAGCAAUGAAGAAGGUUACAGACACAUUUGCUAUUUCCAAAUAGAUAAAAAAGACUGCACAUUUAUUACAAAAGGCACCUGGGAAGUCAUCGGGAUAGAAGCUCUAACCAGCGAUUAUCUAUACUACAUUAGUAAUGAAUAUAAAGGAAUGCCAGGAGGAAGGAAUCUUUAUAAAAUCCAACUUAGUGACUAUACAAAAGUGACGUGCCUUAGUUGUGAGCUGAAUCCGGAAAGGUGUCAGUACUAUUCUGUGUCAUUCAGUAAAGAGGCGAAGUAUUAUCAGCUGAGAUGUUCCGGUCCUGGUCUGCCCCUCUAUACUCUACACAGCAGCGUGAAUGAUAAAGGGCCGAGAGUCCUGGAAGACAAUUCAGCUUUGGAUAAAAUGCUGCAGAAUGUCCAGAUGCCCUCCAAAAAACUGGACUUCAUUAUUUUGAAUGAAACAAAAUUUUGGUAUCAGAUGAUCUUGCCUCCCCAUUUUGAUAAAUCCAAGAAAUAUCCUCUACUAUUAGAUGUGUAUGCAGGCCCGUGUAGUCAAAAAGCAGACACUGUCUUCAGACUGAACUGGGCCACUUACCUUGCAAGCACAGAAAACAUUAUAGUAGCUAGCUUUGAUGGCAGAGGAAGUGGUUACCAAGGAGAUAAGAUCAUGCAUGCAAUCAACAGAAGACUGGGAACAUUUGAAGUUGAAGAUCAAAUUGAAGCAGCCAGACAAUUUUCAAAAAUGGGAUUUGUGGACAACAAACGAAUUGCAAUUUGGGGCUGGUCAUAUGGAGGGUACGUAACCUCAAUGGUCCUGGGAUCGGGAAGCGGCGUGUUCAAGUGUGGAAUAGCCGUGGCGCCUGUAUCCCGGUGGGAGUACUAUGACUCAGUGUACACAGAACGUUACAUGGGUCUCCCAACUCCAGAAGACAACCUUGACCAUUACAGGAAUUCAACAGUCAUGAGCAGAGCUGAAAAUUUUAAACAAGUUGAGUACCUCCUUAUUCAUGGAACAGCAGAUGGUGAGUUUCAGUUAAUUAGACUUUUUAGUAUCACAGACAGGUUUGCAAUUUCACUACUGACAAAACAAAAGCAUGAGGGGCAAGACUGUUACAUUUACUUCAAUAAAACAGUGUUGCUUUCC